GACAUGUGCCGGAAGCGCACCGAAGGUGCGUGCCGCUGCGGCCGGCGCACAGGUGCUGCAUGGCUGUCGUCAGCUCGUGCUGUGAAGUGUUGGGUUAAGUCCCGCAACGAGCGCAACCCUGCUGCCUGUUGCCACCACGAGAGGUGGGGACUCAGGCGGGACCGCCGGUGACAAACCGGAGGAAGGUGGGGACGACGUCAAGUCAUCAUGGCCCUUAUGUCCUGGGCUACACACGUGCUACAAUGGCCGGUACAGAGCGCAGCGAGGCCGCGAGGCGGAGCGAAUCGCUUAAAGCCGGUCCCAGUACGGAUUGGAGUCUGCAACCCGACUCCAUGAAGUUGGAAUCGCUAGUAAUCGCGCAUCAGCAUGGCGCGGUGAAUACGUUCCCGGGCCUU
This 395-nucleotide ribosomal RNA is filed under the name uncultured Spirochaeta sp. RNAcentral describes it as "bacterial SSU rRNA". It matches the Rfam family "Bacterial small subunit ribosomal RNA", at positions 983 to 1382 of the family's 1533-position model. Lineage: Bacteria; Pseudomonadati; Spirochaetota; Spirochaetia; Spirochaetales; Spirochaetaceae. The record is from RNAcentral.